Molecule: ribosomal RNA, 253 nt
Filed under: uncultured bacterium
Lineage: Bacteria
Description: partial 16S ribosomal RNA
Rfam family: Bacterial small subunit ribosomal RNA
Source: RNAcentral
UACGGGGGGGGCAAGCGUUGUUCGGAAUUACUGGGCGUAAAGGGUGCGUAGGCGGCGGGGAAAGUCUGAUGUGAAAUCCUGGGGCUCAACCCUGGAACUGCAUUGGAUACUUCCUUGCUAGAGUACUGGAGAGGAAACUGGAAUUUACGGUGUAGCAGUGAAAUGCGUAGAGAUCGUAAGGAAGACCAGUGGCGAAGGCGAGUUUCUGGACAGUUACUGACGCUGAGGCACGAAGGCCAGGGGAGCAAACGGG